This 467-nucleotide ribosomal RNA is filed under the name uncultured bacterium. RNAcentral's name for it is "partial 16S ribosomal RNA". It matches the Rfam family "Bacterial small subunit ribosomal RNA", at positions 28 to 507 of the family's 1533-position model. The record is from RNAcentral.
GAUGAACGCUGGCGGCGUGCUUAACACAUGCAAGUCGAACGAUGAUGCCCAGCUUGCUGGGUGGAUUAGUGGCGAACGGGUGAGUAACACGUGAGUAACCUGCCCUUGACUCUGGGAUAAGCCUGGGAAACUGGGUCUAAUACCGGAUACGACCAUCUUGCGCAUGUCAUGGUGGUGGAAAGCUUUUGUGGUUUUGGAUGGACUCGCGGCCUAUCGGCUUGUUGGUGGGGUAAUGGCCUACCAAGGCGACGACGGGUAGCCGGCCUGAGAGGGUGACCGGCCACACGGGGACUGAGAGACGGCCCAGACUCCUACGGGAGGCAGCAGUGGGGAAUCUUGCGCAAUGGGCGCAAGCCUGAGGCAGCGACGCCGCGUGAGGGAAGACGGCCUUCGGGUUGUAAACCUCUUUCAGUAGGGAAGAAGCGAAAGUGACGGUACCUGCAGAAGAAGCGCCGGCUAACUACGUG